GCGGCGAUGUGGUGGCCCUCCAACCUCGUGCAGGUCUCCCUCUUCAGGUAUAUAGCACAAAUCUGCAAAAGUAAGACGCCUUUGAUUAGUUAUUACACACUGUAUAAUCAUCUAAAAGCCUCUCAAGCAGUAAUCAUCUCAAAAGAAAAGAAAAGAAAAGAAAAGAAAAAAAAGAAAAGAAAAGGAAAAUCUACACUGGACAUAGUAGUAUCCACGAUCAAUGUUAUGGUAAGUUAAGAGUAGUCUUAAACAAGUAAAAAGUAAAGCGGAAGUGUGGGACAUUGGCUCGACCAUUUUUUAGCAAGAGAUUUCCAAAGCAUCAAACGUUGUGGUGCAUUAUAAUUUAAUAUUAGUACUAUAUUGCAUGGAUAUAGUUGCUGAUAUCAUAUCAUGGUGCACCAACCACUAUAUUAGUAUCUUAUCAUUAUGCUGAAUCAUUUCAAUAAUCAAUAGAAAGCGGCUGGCCAGUGCAAGUCGCAAACAGCCAAGUAUGCAUCUCAAUAGACAAUAGCAAGGUUUGUUUAGGGUAUAAUUAAAGAUUGCGGACACAUGAUUUGUGCUUGCUUUGAUGCGUAGUAAGUAUAUAUCAAUACUGACAAGACAUUGUCUUGUAAAGAACUUCAGCACUGAAAUAUAACGUGAACAGAAAGUGCGUACCAAUUCAAAGCUUCAAAGGCACAACGACUAAUUCAUCGUCAGAUGCAGUCUCUGCAAGCAACAAUGGAUGAUUGAUAACAAUUAAAUUACAAGCUGCAAAAACCAACACCUGAAAGCUCGUGACAAUGGCAAUAUCCUGACUGCCGAGUCCUGAGUACUGCUAGUCAAUACACAUAUACCCA
This 839-nucleotide long non-coding RNA is filed under the name Sorghum bicolor (sorghum). RNAcentral's name for it is "long non-coding RNA (SBIC_LNC016850)". Lineage: Eukaryota; Viridiplantae; Streptophyta; Magnoliopsida; Poales; Poaceae. The record is from RNAcentral.